RNAcentral lists this ribosomal RNA (377 nucleotides) under uncultured Glomeromycotina. RNAcentral's name for it is "LSU rRNA". The record is from RNAcentral. Lineage: Eukaryota; Fungi; Glomeromycota.
UUGAAAGGGAAACGAUUGAAGUCAGUCGUACCGGUGGGUAAUCAGCCUUUCGGCCGUGAUUAUGUGGGGGCGUGAGGGAGUUAAACGCCUUCAUGCCCGCAUAUUCGUGUUCUUUUGGGUGUACUUACCCGCAUGGUAGGUCAACGUCAAUUUCGAACGUCAUAAAAAUGGUUGGGGGAAUGUGGCUUCGAUCUCGUAUUGAAGUGUUAUAACCUCCGGCAGAUGUGAUGAUCGGGAUUGAGGAUUGCAACGGAUACCCUUCUGGGCUACCCGCCUGAUCUCUGAAAGUUGCUCUGGUGCCGAAAGCUCGCUUACGGUCAUCAAAGUUGACGUUCAACAGGUUAGAACGGGAUAAAUUCGUUAAGGAUGUUGACGUA